This 466-nucleotide ribosomal RNA is filed under the name uncultured bacterium. RNAcentral's name for it is "partial 16S ribosomal RNA". It matches the Rfam family "Bacterial small subunit ribosomal RNA", at positions 28 to 507 of the family's 1533-position model. The record is from RNAcentral.
GACGAACGCUGGCGGCGCGCCUAACACAUGCAAGUCGAACGAGCGAGAGAGAGCUUGCUUUCUCGAGCGAGUGGCGAACGGGUGAGUAACGCGUGAGGAACCUGCCUCAAAGAGGGGGACAACAGUUGGAAACGACUGCUAAUACCGCAUAAGCCCACGACCCGGCAUCGGGUAGAGGGAAAAGGAGCAAUCCGCUCUGAGAUGGCCUCGCGUCCGAUUAGCUAGUUGGUGAGGUAACGGCCCACCAAGGCGACGAUCGGUAGCCGGACUGAGAGGUUGAACGGCCACAUUGGGACUGAGACACGGCCCAGACUCCUACGGGAGGCAGCAGUGGGGAAUAUUGCACAAUGGGGGAAACCCUGAUGCAGCGACGCCGCGUGGAGGAAGAAGGUCUUCGGAUUGUAAACUCCUGUUGUUGAGGAAGAUAAUGACGGUACUCAACAAGGAAGUGACGGCUAACUACGUG